This 445-nucleotide ribosomal RNA is filed under the name uncultured bacterium. Its description in RNAcentral is "bacterial SSU rRNA". It matches the Rfam family "Bacterial small subunit ribosomal RNA", at positions 330 to 792 of the family's 1533-position model. The record is from RNAcentral.
ACCAGACUCCUACGGGAGGCAGCAGUGGGGGAUAUUGCACAAUGGGGGGAACCCUGAUGCAGCGACGCCGCGUGGGUGAAGAAGCGCCUCGGCGCGUAAAGCCCUGUCAGCAGGGAAGAAAAUGACGGUACCUGAAGAAGAAGCCCCGGCUAACUACGUGCCAGCAGCCGCGGUAAUACGGAGGGUGCGAGCGUUAAUCGGAAUUACUGGGCGUAAAGCGCUCGUAGGCGGUAUGUCAAGUCAAGGGUGAAAUCCCCGCGCUCAACGUGGGAACUGCCUUUGAAACUGUAGAGCUUGAGUGUCGGAGAGGGUGGCGGAAUUCCAGGUGUAGGAGUGAAAUCCGUAGAUAUCUGGAGGAACACCGGUGGCGAAGGCGGCCACCUGGACGACAACUGACGCUGAGGUGCGAAAGCGUGGGUAGCAAACAGGAUUAGAUACCCUGGUA